Eriocheir sinensis (Chinese mitten crab) is the source of this 427-nucleotide long non-coding RNA. RefSeq lists it as uncharacterized. The record is from RefSeq and is a predicted model, not a curated record. The transcript has 4 exons. Lineage: Eukaryota; Metazoa; Arthropoda; Malacostraca; Decapoda; Varunidae.
AGUCAGUACGUAUUGACAAUUGUGGAUUACUUCACCAAAUAUGUACUGUUGUUCCCUCUUCCAAGAAAGGAUGGGACAGGUGUCAACAAUUGCAUCAAGCAGUACAUAAGCAUAUUGGGAGCACCAAAACGCCUCAUCUCUGAUCAAGGGAAGGAGUUUUGUAAUAAGAUCAACAAUGACUUCUGCCAGCAAAUGGGAAUAAAAAGGUGUGUCUCCAGCGCUUAUCAUCCCCAGACCAAUGGUUUGGUGGAAAGAGUAAACGGUAUGGUGAAACGCCGAGUAAGCAAGCUGUUGGUUGACCGUGGCAAAAACUGGGACGAGAGUCUGCAUGACAUCAUUUUCUCAAUAAACGCUCAGCCACAGUCAGCUACGAAGUACACACCAUUUUUCCUAAUGUUUGGUCGGGAAGCCCUCACACUUUUGGAGG